This 339-nucleotide long non-coding RNA is filed under the name Hordeum vulgare. RNAcentral describes it as "long non-coding RNA (HVUL_LNC011679)". Lineage: Eukaryota; Viridiplantae; Streptophyta; Magnoliopsida; Poales; Poaceae. The record is from RNAcentral.
UUCAGUAAUGCAUAAGUGUGCAAUAUAAGCCCAGCGGUUUACAAGGUGGCACGGUUAGUAGCUUACUACAUAAGAUGGAUUAGUAUAAUCUAGCAAAAGCACGCCCUUCAUUCACGCACUGGAUUACACGUUUGCAGAUGCUACCAGUUUGCAACCAAGAUCAUCGUCGCUCUUUGGACGCCGCAUGGCGUGUACCCUUCCAAGACCAUCUCUCAGAUAGCAUAUCAAGUACAGGCCACAUAUAUGGAUUGGUGACAUGACGGCGAUAGCCAGCAGCACAUGCCACCAGCUCUCGGCAACAAUGUCCAACACAAGCAUGAAGCCAAUGUAGAACACUAG